RNAcentral lists this transfer RNA (68 nucleotides) under Svistella anhuiensis. Its description in RNAcentral is "tRNA-Ser". The record is from RNAcentral. Lineage: Eukaryota; Metazoa; Arthropoda; Insecta; Orthoptera; Trigonidiidae.
AAAACAAAUAGUUGUGAAAAUUAGCUUCUAACUAUAUUUUUUAGCGGUUCAAUUCCGUUAUUGUUUUA